GAGUUUGAUCCUGGCUCAGAAUCAACGCUGGCGGCGUGCCUAACACAUGCAAGUCGAACGAGAAAGUGGAGCAAUCCACGAGUACAGUGGCGCACGGGUGAGUAACACCGUGACUAACCUACCCUUGAGUGGGGGAUAACCUAGAGAAAUCUGGGCUAAUACCGCAUAAUACCUUCGGGUCAAAGGAGCAAUUCGCUUAAGA
RNAcentral lists this ribosomal RNA (202 nucleotides) under uncultured bacterium. RNAcentral describes it as "partial 16S ribosomal RNA". It matches the Rfam family "Bacterial small subunit ribosomal RNA", at positions 9 to 224 of the family's 1533-position model. The record is from RNAcentral.